This 253-nucleotide ribosomal RNA is filed under the name uncultured bacterium. RNAcentral describes it as "partial 16S ribosomal RNA". It matches the Rfam family "Bacterial small subunit ribosomal RNA", at positions 524 to 776 of the family's 1533-position model. The record is from RNAcentral.
UACAGAGGGGGCAAGCGUUGUCCGGAAUUAUUGGGCGUAAAGAGCUCGUAGGCGGUUUGUCGCGUCGAAUGUGAAAACCCGGGGCUCAACCCCGGGCCUGCAUUCGAUACGGGCAGACUAGAGUUCGGUAGGGGAGUCUGGAAUUCCUGGUGUAGCGGUGAAAUGCGCAGAUAUCAGGAGGAACACCGGUGGCGAAGGCGGGACUCUGGGCCGAUACUGACGCUGAGGAGCGAAAGCUAGGGGAGCAAACGGG